CAGGGUGUAGUUUAAGAAAAUAUUAAUUUUGGGAAUUAAUGAUAGGGGUGUGACUCCUUACUCUGA
This 66-nucleotide transfer RNA is filed under the name Trigonopterus sp. 2 AH-2016. RNAcentral's name for it is "tRNA-Pro". It matches the Rfam family "tRNA". From Rfam's summary of the family: Transfer RNA (tRNA) molecules are approximately 80 nucleotides in length. Their secondary structure includes four short double-helical elements and three loops (D, anti-codon, and T loops). Lineage: Eukaryota; Metazoa; Arthropoda; Insecta; Coleoptera; Curculionidae. The record is from RNAcentral.